UGCUUGGUGGAUCAGUGGCGAACGGGUGAGUAACACGUGAGCAACCUGCCCUGGACUCUGGGAUAAGCGCUGGAAACGGCGUCUAAUACUGGAUAUGAGACGUGAUCGCAUGGUCGUGUUUGGAAAGAUUUUUCGGUCUGGGAUGGGCUCGCGGCCUAUCAGCUUGUUGGUGAGGUAAUGGCUCACCAAGGCGUCGACGGGUAGCCGGCCUGAGAGGGUGACCGGCCACACUGGGACUGAGACACGGCCCAGACUCCUACGGGAGGCAGCAGUGGGGAAUAUUGCACAAUGGGCGGAAGCCUGAUGCAGCAACGCCGCGUGAGGGAUGACGGCCUUCGGGUUGUAAACCUCUUUUAGCAGGGAAGAAGCGAAAGUGACGGUACCUGCAGAAAAAGCGCCGGCUAACUACGUGCCAGCAGCCGCGGUAAUACGUAGGGCGCAAGCGUUAUCCGGAAUUAUUGGGCGUAAAGAGCUCGUAGGCGGUUUGUCGCGUCUGCUGUGAAAUCCCGAGGCUCAACCUCGGGCCUGCAGUGGGUACGGGCAGACUAGAGUGCGGUAGGGGAGAUUGGAAUUCCUGGUGUAGCGGUGGAAUGCGCAGAUAUCAGGAGGAACACCGAUGGCGAAGGCAGAUCUCUGGGCCGUAACUGACGCUGAGGAGCGAAAGGGUGGGGAGCAAACAGGCUUAGAUACCCUGGUAGUCCACCCCGUAAACGUUGGGAACUAGUUGUGGGGACCAUUCCACGGUUUCCGUGACGCAGCUAACGCAUUAAGUUCCCCGCCUGGGGAGUACGGCCGCAAGGCUAAAACUCAAAGGAAUUGACGGGGACCCGCACAAGCGGCGGAGCAUGCGGAUUAAUUCGAUGCAACGCGAAGAACCUUACCAAGGCUUGACAUACACCAGAACGCGCCAGAAAUGCUGGACUCUUUGGACACUGGUGAACAGGUGGUGCAUGGUUGUCGUCAGCUCGUGUCGUGAGAUGUUGGGUUAAGUCCCGCAACGAGCGCAACCCUCGUUCUAUGUUGCCAGCACGUAAUGGUGGGAACUCAUGGGAUACUGCCGGGGUCAACUCGGAGGAAGGUGGGGAUGACGUCAAAUCAUCAUGCCCCUUAUGUCUUGGGCUUCACGCAUGCUACAAUGGCCGGUACAAAGGGCUGCAAUACCGUAAGGUGGAGCGAAUCCCAAAAAGCCGGUCCCAGUUCGGAUUGAGGUCUGCAACUCGACCUCAUGAAGUCGGAGUCGCUAGUAAUCGCAGAUCAGCAACGCUGCGGUGAAUACGUUCCCGGGUCUUGUACACACCGCCCGUCAAGUCAUGAAAGUCGGUAACACCUGAAGCCG
RNAcentral lists this ribosomal RNA (1336 nucleotides) under Microbacterium sp. NA-Z-SYM-4. RNAcentral describes it as "bacterial SSU rRNA". It matches the Rfam family "Bacterial small subunit ribosomal RNA", at positions 81 to 1429 of the family's 1533-position model. The record is from RNAcentral. Lineage: Bacteria; Bacillati; Actinomycetota; Actinomycetes; Micrococcales; Microbacteriaceae.